CCCUUAGAUGUCCUGGGCCGCACGCGCGCUACACUGAGUGUCUGCGAUACGAGUCUGCCUGGUCCGGCAAGGUCUAGGUAAUCGCUAAAAGACACAUCAUGCUUGGGAUAGAUUAUUGCAAAUAUUAAUCUUGAACGAGGAAUUCCUAGUAAGCGCAAGUCAACAGCUUGCGUUGAUUACGUCCCUGCCCUUUGUACACACCGCCCGUCGCUACUACUGAUUGGAUGUUUAAGCGAGGUUCUCGAACUGCUAGCGACUUAGCUUCGGUGAGGUCGCAGUGUGGGAAGUGAACCUAGCUUUGGUGUCUAGAGGAAGUAAAAGUCGUAACA
Molecule: ribosomal RNA, 329 nt
Filed under: uncultured eukaryote
Lineage: Eukaryota
Description: partial 18S ribosomal RNA
Rfam family: Eukaryotic small subunit ribosomal RNA
Source: RNAcentral